GGAGUGGGGUGGAGUGGAGAGGAGUGGAGUGGAGUGGAGUAAAAUCGAGUGGAAUGGAAUGGAAUGGAGGGGAAUGGAAUGGAAUGGAAUGUAGUGGAGUGGAAUGGAAUGGAGUGGAGGGGAGUCUAGUGGAAUGGAGUGGAGUGCAGUGGAGUGGAAUGGAAUGGAAUGGAAUUAAAUGGAAUGGAACGGACUGGAGUGGAGUGGAGUGGACUGGAAUGGAAUGGAAUGGACUCAAAUGGAAAGGAAUGAACUUGAAUGGAAUGGAAUGGACUCGAAUGGAAUCAUCAAUGAAUGGACUCGAAUG
Molecule: long non-coding RNA, 307 nt
Filed under: Homo sapiens (human)
Lineage: Eukaryota; Metazoa; Chordata; Mammalia; Primates; Hominidae
Description: HSALNT0123741
Source: RNAcentral